GACUGUAACCCCAAUUCCCCAUCUCCCUGCACCACAGAAAAUGGAACAAUUCCUGUCCCAGAUGGGGACCUAAGCCUCUCACGCCUUUUUAUUUCUGACAUGUCCUGAAGACCUAUCAAUCCUGAUGGUGUAUGGCAGCACACAACAGCAAACAGGGCUGUGCUCCUAUCUUCCUUCUCCCUGUGUGGAUCCAUGGGCUGGUCACCGGGACUAGAUUCACCCCAGCUUGCUUCAGAAGUUUGAACCACCAUUUACCAACCUCAGGUCAUCCCAAAGUAAUGUGUCCCAGUUGUUUUGAUGCCUUGAGGAACGACAAGAAAUCGUUUGGUUUUGUGUAUGAGCCCAUUAGGCUAGACGUGCUUCAUUGCUGUAGCAUGUCCAUCACUGGGCUGACACCAAACCCAGGCCUCUGUGUGCAGCUACCUAGCAGCUGUGGACAGAAGGCUGCACGAGGACCUCUGGUCCCCCAUCAACCUACCAGGGCUCAGAAGCUGAACCUCCAACAUCUACCCACUUCCUAGACAUGUGAAGACAUCCAUCACAUGUGAACAAGAGGUUAAAGCCACCAGGUUUGGGCUGCCCUUCUCUGGCAAGCCAUCAAGCUGAAGCAGUUGCUCAGCGGAAGUUUGAAGACUGAUUUUUUUAUUAAGGAAAAAACUUCCCACUGGACAUAUGUCAGUGUCCAGAUCUGGUGAGAGCUGAGGGAGAGCUCAGACGGAAGGUGAACCGAGAACACGGCCAUAGCCCAGCACACCUGGAGACCUAAGUAGUACUACAGAAAUUACUUUCUUUUUCCUUAAUAAAGCCAAAUAAUUUA
Molecule: long non-coding RNA, 817 nt
Organism: Pipra filicauda (Wire-tailed manakin)
Lineage: Eukaryota; Metazoa; Chordata; Aves; Passeriformes; Pipridae
Exons: 3
Source: RefSeq, a predicted model, not a curated record